CGGCACGGGUGAGUAACACGUAUCCAACCUGCCGUCUACUCUUGGACAGCCUUCUGAAAGGAAGAUUAAUACAAGAUGGCAUCAUGAGUUCACAUGUUCACAUGAUUAAAGGUAUUCCGGUAGACGAUGGGGAUGCGUUCCAUUAGAUAGUAGGCGGGGUAACGGCCCACCUAGUCUUCGAUGGAUAGGGGUUCUGAGAGAAAGGUCCCCCACAUUGGAACUGAGACACGGUCCAA
This 236-nucleotide ribosomal RNA is filed under the name uncultured bacterium. RNAcentral describes it as "partial 16S ribosomal RNA". It matches the Rfam family "Bacterial small subunit ribosomal RNA", at positions 100 to 334 of the family's 1533-position model. The record is from RNAcentral.